RNAcentral lists this long non-coding RNA (2349 nucleotides) under Gossypium barbadense (sea-island cotton). RNAcentral describes it as "long non-coding RNA (GBAR_LNC014552)". The record is from RNAcentral. Lineage: Eukaryota; Viridiplantae; Streptophyta; Magnoliopsida; Malvales; Malvaceae.
UUUUUUGUCCCGGGCCCGGCCCGGUUAUAAUUAAUGUAUAUAUAUUUAUUAUUAUUUAUUACAUUUACAAUUUUAGUUACCAACUUACUUUUCUCAUUUCCCCCACCCGUUCAAACUUCAAAAUCCCUAACCCCUUCCCUUCCCUCCUCCUGUUUUUUUUCCCCCAAAUUGAAAACCCCACCUCCACCUCCACCGAUCAACCAUCCCACCUCCGGUGUACGGUUCUCGACGACUCCACCUCCAGGCUCCAGUUCCACGACGCUAGCGUUGUUGUUGUUCUCUACUUCUCUUCACUUCGAUUCUUCUGCAACUUCCGAAUGUAUUAUUUUUUAUGCUUUAUGUUUUAUGCUGUCCAAAGAUUUGUUUUUGUUUUCUUUUUAAAUGUUAUGUACUGUUCGAAGGUAUUAUUUUUAUGUUAAUGAACUGUUGAAAAAUGUUAUCUUUUUGUUAUUAUGAAGCCCCAAAGUUUUAAGUUUUAGUUUCUCUUCACUUCGAUUCUUCUGCAAUUAUACUUUUGAAAGUGCAAAUCCUUGUUAAAAUGGUGAGAAUCAGUUUUUACAAACUGCCAUAAGUAGAUUUAUCAAGUCUAUUUAACAAUCUCAAAAUGAAGAGAGUCUUCUUCAAAUGCUUUCUAUAAACCAUUCGUAAAUAACUAAUUUGGCCAUAAAUAAUUAAGACAAAAUAUAGCCAAGAACAAACAGAUUUAGUAUAAAAUUGUGAGGCCAUAAAUUACCUUUGGGAAUGCAAAAUUGGCCAUAAAUUAACAGAUUUAGUAUAAUAUUGUUAAUUUGUUAUCCUUUAAAAGCAUAAAAAUGUAAUGAUAUGAUAAACUUUAAAAUAUUUAAGUUAAAAAGUUAAAAGUAAUUAAAUUCGAGUUAAUUGUUUUGUAAUUACUUGUAUAAUCAUUUUUUAUUUUUAUUCUCUUUUUUUAAGAAUUGAUUGUUUGUAAUUAAAUUCAAAUAAGUAAUCUUAUUUUAUUUUUUUGUUCAUUAUAUAGUAUAUACAAAAAAAAUAUAAUUUGAUAUUUGAUAUAAUUUUAAUAACAAUUAGUUUUAAGUAAAAAAAAGGGUCGGGCCGGGCUCGGGCUUCAUAUUUUCUCCACGGGCCGGGCAUGGGCAAAAUUGUAGGCCCAUAUUCCGGGCCGGGCUGAAUUUUUUUGGGCCCGGCCCAUGAACACCUCUAAAUUGGGUUGUAAGGGUUUUUAUUUUUAUUUUUAAGUUUGGCUAGCGAACUUCGAACAACUAUUUGACGAUUGGUAUGGUGGAUCAAUAUCCAUUGAAAGUAGAAGAACUGUCUUAUAUCCAAAUAUAUUUGAUGGUCAGUGUAGGAGAUCAUUGAAGAAAAUUAUUCAGAUUUUGAUUUGCAGAUUCGUGAAGAUCAAUAUUGUUUUAUGAAGAAAAAAAAUUAAACUGUAAAAGAGAAGGAAAAUGAGAGUUUUCGAUUGAUGUAGAUGAUAUAAAUAGAGAAAGCCAUAUAAUAAUAAUUUUAAUAGUCCGAUAAUUUAAAAGAAAAACUUUUAAAUAAUUUAAUGAUAUUUUAUAUUUAUUUAUUUAAUAAUAAUAAUAUUUUCCCGGACCCAGCUUAUAAAGGGCGGUCACUGCAGGCUGGGACUCCACCAAAGAACACGGUCCCAAUCGCUUGAGCUGGGGAACCACAUGCACUGUACUCACAUUACCAAACAAAACCUUCCUUCACCUAGCUAUUACUAUACGACACAUUUUGACACUCACUAAGAUUUUUGGCACUUUCCUAUCUCUCAUCACUUGGUAAAAAGCAAUCUCACGCAUAUUUUUAAAUUUUUAAAUACUUGCAUUUAAUAUUUUAUACGAUGUCACACUCAUACAGAAAAUUUAAAAGAUAUGGGUUUGAGGUGCUGCAAGUAAAGUUGUAUUUUUUGUUUCCUGUGAAAUGCCCAGGUGAAGUAAGGGGUUUGUAUUAGGUGGCUGUCUUUUCAAUAUAAUAAUAUAAUAUGAACUGUGUGAUGGGGGUGGGGGUGGAGGGGCCUUUGCAUGGCAGAUAGAGAUGAGAAAUUAAAUUUUGGAUGGAAAUUUGACAUGCACUCAUACCAUCAUCAUUAAUAAUCACAGCCAAAUUUAAAUAAAAAAACAGGGAGCGUUGUUCACUCAGAUUUGUGGUCUCCAUCACCACCUAUCCCUUUCUGAAUGGGGGGCUACCUCUUUUGGAGGGCACACCUUUUUACUAUUUAAUAGUGAUAUGUCGACCAAAUGUAGCCAUGACUCUUUGAAUUACACCCUAUUAUGUUAUUACAACAUUUGUAUUCCAUGUAUAUUUUAAAUGUAAUUAUGUAACUAUGAUCUUACCUAUAUAUUUUAUGUAUUGUGAAUUUGG